Molecule: unclassified non-coding RNA, 158 nt
Organism: Oryctolagus cuniculus (rabbit)
Lineage: Eukaryota; Metazoa; Chordata; Mammalia; Lagomorpha; Leporidae
Rfam family: Metazoan signal recognition particle RNA
About the family: The signal recognition particle (SRP) is a universally conserved ribonucleoprotein.
Source: Ensembl
AUGCCGAUCGGUGUCUGCACUAAGUUCGGCAUCAAUAUGGUGACCUCCCUGGAGCGGGGGACCACCAGAUUGCCUAAGGAGGGGUGAACCGGCCCAGGUCGGAAACGGAGCAGGUCAAAACUCCCGUGCUGAUCAGUAAUGGGAUCGCGCCUGUGAAU